GAUCCUGGCUCAGGACGAACGCUGGCGGCGCGCCUAACACAUGCAAGUCGAACGAGAGAGAGGGAGCUUGCUUCCUCAAUCGAGUGGCGAACGGGUGAGUAACGCGUGAGGAACCUGCCUCAAAGAGGGGGACAACAGUUGGAAACGGCUGCCAAUACCGCAUAAGCCCACAGCUCGGCAUCGAGCAGAGGGAAAAGGAGCAAUCCGCUUUGAGAUGGCCUCGCGUCCGAUUAG
This 234-nucleotide ribosomal RNA is filed under the name uncultured bacterium. Its description in RNAcentral is "partial 16S ribosomal RNA". It matches the Rfam family "Bacterial small subunit ribosomal RNA", at positions 15 to 244 of the family's 1533-position model. The record is from RNAcentral.